GGGUCGAUGCCCGAGUGGUUAAUGGGGGCGGACUGUAAAUCCGCUGGCUACGCCUACGUUGGUUCAAAUCCAACUCGGCCCACCA
Molecule: transfer RNA, 85 nt
Filed under: Spirulina sp. DLM2.Bin59
Lineage: Bacteria; Bacillati; Cyanobacteriota; Cyanophyceae; Spirulinales; Spirulinaceae
Also listed under: 3 other names
Description: tRNA-Tyr
Rfam family: tRNA
About the family: Transfer RNA (tRNA) molecules are approximately 80 nucleotides in length. Their secondary structure includes four short double-helical elements and three loops (D, anti-codon, and T loops).
Source: RNAcentral